AUUGAACGCUGGCGGAAUGCUUUACACAUGCAAGUCGAACGGCAGCACGGACUUCGGUCUGGUGGCGAGUGGCGAACGGGUGAGUAAUGUAUCGGAACGUGCCCAGUCGUGGGGGAUAACGUAGUGAAAAUUACGCUAAUACCGCAUACGAUCUAUGGAUGAAAGCGGGGGAUCGCAAGACAUCGCGCGAUUGGAGCGGCCGAUAUCAGAUUAGGUAGUUGGUGGGGUAAAGGCCCACCAAGCCAACGAUCUGUAGCUGGUCUGAGAGGACGACCAGCCACACUGGAACUGAGACACGGUCCAGACUCCUACGGGAGGCAGCAGUUGGGAGUUUUGGACAAUGGGCGAAAGCCUGAUCCAGCCAUUCCGCGUGCAGGAUGAAGGCCCUCGGGUUGUAAACUGCUUUUGUACAGAACGAAAAGGUUUCUACUAAUACUAGGAGCUCAUGACGGUACUGUAAGAAUAAGCACCGGCUAACUACGUGCCAGCCGCCGCCGUAA
This 500-nucleotide ribosomal RNA is filed under the name uncultured bacterium. RNAcentral's name for it is "partial 16S ribosomal RNA". It matches the Rfam family "Bacterial small subunit ribosomal RNA", at positions 30 to 523 of the family's 1533-position model. The record is from RNAcentral.